Molecule: unclassified non-coding RNA, 679 nt
Filed under: uncultured Prochlorococcus sp.
Lineage: Bacteria; Bacillati; Cyanobacteriota; Cyanophyceae; Synechococcales; Prochlorococcaceae
Description: partial may contain 16S ribosomal RNA, 16S-23S ribosomal RNA intergenic spacer, and 23S ribosomal RNA
Rfam family: Bacterial small subunit ribosomal RNA (bases 1-97)
Source: RNAcentral
ACCCUUGUGGAGGAGGACGCCGAAGGUGGGGCUAAUGACUGGGGUGAAGUCGUAACAAGGUAGCCGUACCGGAAGGUGCGGCUGGAUCACCUCCUAACAGGGAGACAACAAAAUGUUUAAUAUUAUUAUUUUGUCACCUUAGGUCGAUCGGUAUCUCACAUUCUUAAUUUAUUAAGGAUUUCAUUUCCUAAGUUUUUCUAGGUCACACCCAUUAUUUUUCCUGGGCCAUUAGCUCAGGUGGUUAGAGCGCACCCCUGAUAAGGGUGAGGUCCCUGGUUCAAGUCCAGGAUGGCCCAUAUCUCUAUGUUGGGGGUAUAGCUCAGUUGGUAGAGCGCCUGCUUUGCAAGCAGGAUGUCAGCGGUUCGAGUCCGCUUACCUCCACUGAUUACCACCUCUUCCAUAAUCUGUAGAAAGGAAAAUUUUUGUGUUGUGAACCUAAUUCUGAACGAAUCUAGCUUCCUAAUGAAACCAUUAAGAUGCUGGACUCAUUGAAUUAAUUCAUUGUUUUCAGAGAACCUUGACAACUGCAUAGAUUAUUUUUAAAGACAAUAAGCAUUUUUAAUGAUGCAGAUUUAUUAUUUUUGCAAAUGCAUUAAUAACAAUUCUAUUAAGCUGAUGCUUCAAAUUUUGAAGUUAUUGGUCAAGCUACAAAGGGCUCACGGAGGAUACCUAGGCACAC